CGGUACAUCGGUGACAGGUGGUGCAUGGUUGUCGUCAGCUCGUGUCGUGAGAUGUUGGUUAAGUCCCGCAACGAGCGCAACCCCUAUUGUUAGUUGCCAUCAUUCAGUUGGGCACUCUAGCGAGACUGCCGGUAAUAAACCGGAGGAAGGUGGGGAUGACGUCAAAUCAUCAUGCCCCUUAUGACCUGGGCUACACACGUGCUACAAUGGUUGGUACAACGAGUUGCGAGUCGGUGACGGCGAGCUAAUCUCUUAAAGCCAAUCUCAGUUCGGAUUGUAGGCUGCAACUCGCCUACAUGAAGUCGGAAUCGCUAGUAGUCGCGGAUCAGCACGCCGCGGUGAAUACGUUCCCGGGCCUU
This 359-nucleotide ribosomal RNA is filed under the name uncultured Streptococcus sp. RNAcentral's name for it is "bacterial SSU rRNA". It matches the Rfam family "Bacterial small subunit ribosomal RNA", at positions 1021 to 1382 of the family's 1533-position model. Lineage: Bacteria; Bacillati; Bacillota; Bacilli; Lactobacillales; Streptococcaceae. The record is from RNAcentral.